CCUACGGGGGACAGCAGUGGGGGAUAUUGCACAAUGGGGGAAACCCUGAUGCAGCGACGCCGCGUGUGGGAAGACGGUCUUCUGGAUUGUAAACCACUGUCCCCAGGGACGAAAAUGACGGUACCUGGGGAGGAAGCUCCGGCUAACUACGUGCCAGCAGCCGCGGUAAUACGUAGGGAGCAAGCGUUGUCCGGAAUUACUGGGUGUAAAGGGAGCGUAGGCGGGGAUGCAAGUUGGGUGUCAAAACUACCGGCUCAACCGAUAGUCGCACUUAAAACUGCAACUCUUGAGUGAAGUAGAGGCAGGCGGAAUUCCUAGUGUAGCGGUGAAAUGCGUAGAUAUUAGGAGGAACACCAGUGGCGAAGGCGGCCUGCUGGGCUUUUACUGACGCUGAGGCUCGAAAGUGUGGGGAGCAAACAGGAUUAGAUACCCGUGUAGUC
RNAcentral lists this ribosomal RNA (440 nucleotides) under uncultured bacterium. RNAcentral's name for it is "partial 16S ribosomal RNA". It matches the Rfam family "Bacterial small subunit ribosomal RNA", at positions 338 to 795 of the family's 1533-position model. The record is from RNAcentral.